Molecule: ribosomal RNA, 450 nt
Filed under: Amblyomma parvum
Lineage: Eukaryota; Metazoa; Arthropoda; Arachnida; Ixodida; Ixodidae
Description: partial large subunit ribosomal RNA
Rfam family: Archaeal large subunit ribosomal RNA (bases 316-450)
Source: RNAcentral
AAAAAUGCUCAAAUGAUUUUUAAAUUGCUGUGGUAUUUUGACUAUACAAAGGUAUUGUAAUAAGAUUUUAAUUGAAUGCUAAGAGAAUGAAUAUACAGAAAUUAACUUUUUUGGUCUUAAUUAUUGAAGUUAUUUUUAUUUGUGAAGAAACAAUAAUUUAAAUUAUGGACAAGAAGACCCUAAGAAUUUUACAAAAUUAAUUAUUCCGUAUGAAUUAAUAAAUUUUUUUAGUUGGGGCGAUUAAUUAAAAUUACAAACUUUUUUAGUUUAAAAAAAGAACCGUUAAUAACGGCCGGUUGGAAAAAAUACUCUAGGGAUAACAGCGUAAUAAUUUUUGAUAGCUCAUAUUGACAAAAUAGUUUGCGACCUCGAUGUUGGAUUAGGAUAUUUUUUUAAUGAAGAAGUUAAAAUAAAAAGUUUGUUCAACUUUUAAACUCCUACUUGAUCUGA